Molecule: ribosomal RNA, 367 nt
Filed under: uncultured bacterium
Lineage: Bacteria
Description: bacterial SSU rRNA
Rfam family: Bacterial small subunit ribosomal RNA
Source: RNAcentral
GAUGAACGCUGGCGGCGUGCCUAACACAUUCAAGUCGAACGGUGAAGUACCUUCGGGUACGGAUCAGUGGCGGACGGGUGAGUAACGCGUGAGCAACCUGCCUUUCAAAGCGGGAUAACGGCUGGAAACGGACGCUAAUACCGCAUGAUGUAUGCGAGACGCAUGUUUUGCAUACCAAAGAUUUAUCGAUGAAAGAUGGGCUCGCGUCUGAUUAGCUAGAUGGCGGGUAACGGCCCACCAUGGCGACGAUCAGUAGCCGGUCUGAGAGGAUGAACGGCACAUUGGGACUGAGAUACGGCCCAGACUCCUACGGAGGCAGCAGUGGGGAAUAUUGGGGCAAUGGGGGAAACCCUGACCCAGCAAGCCG